GUAUAAUUACUAUUAAUGGCCGCGGUACUUUGACCGUGCUAAGGUAGCGCAAUCAAUUGGCUCUUAAAUGGGGUCAGGAAUGAAUGGAGUUUAACGUGGUUAAGCUGUCUCUCAACUAAUUAAUUGAAGUUACUAUGUAGGUGAAAAAGCCUAUUUUAAGAAAAAGGACGAGAAGACCCUUAGAGUUUUACUUAAUGUGGAGGUAUAAAAGUAUUCAUACUGGUUUUGUUGGGGCAACAUAGGAGCAAUAGUGGAAAUAAUCUCCUAAAUAAUAACACACCGAAACUUAUAAAUUUGGAUAAACUACCUUAGGGAUAACAGCAUAAUUUUAAAAAUAAGUUUGUGACCUCGAUGUUGGACUAGGAAACUUAAAGGCUAGCCGUCUU
RNAcentral lists this ribosomal RNA (386 nucleotides) under Goniobranchus sp. RUMF-ZM-11335. RNAcentral's name for it is "partial large subunit ribosomal RNA". It matches the Rfam family "Archaeal large subunit ribosomal RNA", at positions 1988 to 2634 of the family's 2987-position model. The record is from RNAcentral. Lineage: Eukaryota; Metazoa; Mollusca; Gastropoda; Nudibranchia; Chromodorididae.